RNAcentral lists this ribosomal RNA (862 nucleotides) under Australostichopus mollis. RNAcentral's name for it is "bacterial SSU rRNA". It matches the Rfam family "Bacterial small subunit ribosomal RNA", at positions 604 to 1461 of the family's 1533-position model. The record is from RNAcentral. Lineage: Eukaryota; Metazoa; Echinodermata; Holothuroidea; Aspidochirotida; Stichopodidae.
GGGGCUUAACCCUGAGCGUGCUUUCGAUACGGGUUGACUUGAGGAAGGUAGGGGAGAAUGGAAUUCCUGGUGGAGCGGUGGAAUGCGCAGAUAUCAGGAGGAACACCAGUGGCGAAGGCGGUUCUCUGGGCCUUUCCUGACGCUGAGGAGCGAAAGCGUGGGGAGCGAACAGGCUUAGAUACCCUGGUAGUCCACGCUGUAAACGGUGGGUACUAGGUGUGGGGUCCAUUCCACGGGUUCCGUGCCGUAGCUAACGCUUUAAGUACCCCGCCUGGGGAGUACGGCCGCAAGGCUAAAACUCAAAGGAAUUGACGGGGCCCCGCACAAGCGGCGGAGCAUGCGGAUUAAUUCGAUGCAACGCGUAGAACCUUACCUGGGUUUGACAUGGAUCGGGAGUGCUCAGAGAUGGGUGUGCCUCUUUUGGGGUCGGUUCACAGGUGGUGCAUGGCUGUCGUCAGCUCGUGUCGUGAGAUGUUGGGUUAAGUCCCGCAACGAGCGCAACCCUUGUUCACUGUUGCCAGCACGUUAUGGUGGGGACUCAGUGGAGACCGCCGGGGUCAACUCGGAGGAAGGUGGGGAUGACGUCAAGUCAUCAUGCCCCUUAUGUCCAGGGCUUCACGCAUGCUACAAUGGCUGGUACAGAGAGUGGCGAGCCUGUGAGGGUGAGCGAAUCUCGGAAAGCCGGUCUCAGUUCGGAUUGGGGUCUGCAACUCGACCUCAUGAAGUCGGAGUCGCUAGUAAUCGCAGAUCAGCAACGCUGCGGUGAAUACGUUCCCGGGGCUUGUACACACCGCCCGUCAAGUCAUGAAAGUUGGUAACACCCGAAGCCGGUGGCCUAACCGUUGUGGGGGAGCCGUCGAAG